This 253-nucleotide ribosomal RNA is filed under the name uncultured bacterium. Its description in RNAcentral is "partial 16S ribosomal RNA". It matches the Rfam family "Bacterial small subunit ribosomal RNA", at positions 524 to 776 of the family's 1533-position model. The record is from RNAcentral.
UACGUAGGGGGCAAGCGUUGUCCGGAAUUAUUGGGCGUAAAGCGCGUGUAGGCGGCCAGAUAAGUCCGCUGUGAAAUCUCGAGGCUCAACUUCGAGCUGUCGGUGGAAACUAUCUGGCUAGAGUCCGGAAGAGGAGAAUGGAAUUCCUGGUGUAGCGGUGAAAUGCGCAGAUAUCAGGAAGAACACCCGUGGCGAAAGCGGCUCUCUGGAACGGUACUGACGCUGAGGAGCGAAAGCGUGGGUAGCAAACAGG